CUUGUAGCUCAGCUGGAUAGAGCGUUAGACUCCGACUCUAAAGGCCGCUGGUUCGAAUCCAGUCAA
This 66-nucleotide transfer RNA is filed under the name human gut metagenome. It matches the Rfam family "tRNA", at positions 5 to 66 of the family's 71-position model. Rfam says of the family: Transfer RNA (tRNA) molecules are approximately 80 nucleotides in length. The record is from RNAcentral. RNAcentral also lists the same sequence under 2 other names.